Aegilops tauschii subsp. strangulata is the source of this 1634-nucleotide long non-coding RNA. RefSeq lists it as uncharacterized. The record is from RefSeq and is a predicted model, not a curated record. NCBI's taxonomy places the organism in Eukaryota, Viridiplantae, Streptophyta, Magnoliopsida, Poales, Poaceae.
AGUAGCGGCCGCCGCCGCCGCGCGCCCAUUCCUCUCUGGCGGCGCCGCCGCCCUGCUCUCGUUCCCCUCCCUAUCCAUCUCAAUCUUCUCCCGCACCACCACGAUCUUCAACCUCCUGCUGCCGUAUGUCUCCGAUUUGGAUCGGAGUCCGUGUUCCCGCAGGAUAAGUGCUGCAACACGAAUCCAUGGCGUGCCCGACCUAGAUUUCAGAGGGACUUGGCUGCCAUUAGAAGGAGCCCUCGACCGGAAUCUCCCUUAAAUCGCUUCAUAUCGCAACUUUUGAAGAGUCGUCCAGGAUCGUCUCAGCCGAGUUCGCCGGAAGAAAAUCCGCCGCCCAAGCGUACUACAUCUGAGCCGGAAGAACAUCCCCUGCCGAACAUGCUACCCCAGAGAUCACAUCUUCCUUUGCUUGAACACGUGAGCUGAUUCCGACUUUGGCCUCAAGUUGCUCCCGUCAAUGACAAGUGGGAGGAGUGGGAGUGCUGUGUUCAUGAAAUUGAGUAUCUCAGAAGAAUUUGGUUUGGCACUUAUUUUCCUCAACCUGUUAUUCUUCAAAUGUGCUUCCCAUGGAUUUGAUAAAUUUGGUGAGAUAAUGUUAUGUGUCAGGUAUGGCCAUAAGAUACUCAUGAAACUUAUUUUAUUUUGCCUCACACAAGAUGUAUGUUGUUUAGACUCAUGUACUGCCAGUACUGGUAGAUCGAUGAUCUAAGGAUCAUAUGAAUGAUUAAUGGAGGAUAAUUCAUAUUCAGUUCUCCUCUCAAUUUUUGUGGUGCCAAGCUUGAUCUUUAUCCAUCUAACUGACUGAAAGUGCCUUCUAAUCACUAUUGAACGCAUAUGUUAGUUAGUUUGACUGUAUACACCACACAAAAAGUAAAAAAUGAAUUCUAGAAAAAAUUAGACACAAAUACUACAGAACCAGUGGACCCUUGAGAAACAAAAGGCACACCUAAAGGAUUUUUUUUCUUAACAAAAUGUAUUAAUUUGACUAUUUGAGUAUAAAAAAUGUGCAAUCGCAAUCUUGCUUUUUCAAGGAAAACAGGGGACUGCCACAUACUCGAUAUGGAUCGAGGCUAAUUAUUGAUCUUCCAAGUUAAAAAAAUCUGAAAAUAACUUUCAUUUAGUAAUGGAUAUAUAGUCAAGAAAGGAUGCCUUUCCCGAAAGAUACAAAACAAAAUCGUGUUCGUGUAUGUCCGGCUGACAGAUGAAUCGAUCUCCUUUCAAGUAUCAACACAGCAACCUUGGUGUACGUACAUGUGUGCAUCAAGGAUGCACGGGUCCAUUGGCCUGCGUACCACACAUCCCUUCACUAAUUCCAUCAGUAUCAUUCUUAACAAGGUAAGUAUGAUUCCCUAAUCCCUGAUUUUAUUAAUUGAUCUUUGAUGCUUCAUCCCUAAUGUCGUUAUACCUUAUUGAUUCUAUAAAAGAUCUCAAACAGGAACAUACCAUUUUUGAGGCUACGAUUCCUAUAACUUGCCUUGUCAAUUUGAUAAAAUUACAUGUGUAAUGGAGGUUGUAACUUAUUACGGUUUACAUUGUCAGAAUGAUAUCUGUGUCAUCUCUGAACAUAUGUAUAUAUUUGGUGUGCCGGAUUUUCUGAUGUAGAUGCUAUAUAAGAGGAAGCUAUUCGACAAUCC